UAACGCGUGAGUAACCUGCCCUGGAGUGGGGGACAACAGUUGGAAACGACUGCUAAUACCGCAUAAGCCCACGAUCCGGCAUCGGAUUGAGGGAAAAGGAUUUAUUCGCUUCAGGAUGGACUCGCGUCCAAUUAGCUAGUUGGUGAGGUAACGGCCCACCAAGGCGACGAUUGGUAGCCGGACUGAGAGGUUGAACGGCCACAUUGGGACUGAGACACGGUCCAAACUCCUACGGGAGGCAGCAGUGAGGAAUAUUGGUCAAUGGGCGAGAGCCUGAACCAGCCAAGUAGCGUGCAGGAUGACGGCCCUAUGGGUUGUAAACUGCUUUUAUAAGGGAAUAAAGUGAGUCUCGUGAGACUUUUUGCAUGUACCUUAUGAAUAAGGACCGGCUAAUUCCGUGCCAGCAGCCGCGGUAAUACGGAAGGUCCGGGCGUUAUCCGGAUUUAUUGGGUUUAAAGGGAGCGUAGGCCGGAGAUUAAGCGUGUUGUGAAAUGUAGACGCUCAACGUCUGCACUGCAGCGCGAACUGGUUUCCUUGA
RNAcentral lists this ribosomal RNA (538 nucleotides) under uncultured bacterium. Its description in RNAcentral is "bacterial SSU rRNA". It matches the Rfam family "Bacterial small subunit ribosomal RNA", at positions 111 to 645 of the family's 1533-position model. The record is from RNAcentral.